Pectinophora gossypiella (pink bollworm) is the source of this 288-nucleotide long non-coding RNA. RefSeq lists it as uncharacterized. Lineage: Eukaryota; Metazoa; Arthropoda; Insecta; Lepidoptera; Gelechiidae. The transcript is spliced from 2 exons. The record is from RefSeq and is a predicted model, not a curated record.
GUCACAUCGUCUCCAGUCUCCAAUCCCCCUCCACAUUAAUCAUGAAGUGCUUCAGCCUGAUGGUGGUAGUGUUGGCCGUACUUGCCAUGAUCAUGGGCGGAUCUCAAGCCGCGCCGGAGCCGCAGCCAGCGGGGGUCAAGGGGGUCCUGAAGGGUGCUAAAACCGUUUUAGGAGUGGUUGGAGCCAUAGGCACCGGCAAGGAGAUCAUCGACCGCGUCAGGAACAAGCACGGAUGAAAAUUCAUCGCAAUAGCUAUUAAAUUUUAAGUUAAUAAAUAAUUUAAAUUAU